CAAUGGCGACACCCACCGCCUCCAUUGAGACAGACAUCUAUCACAAAACAACAGGGAAGAUGAUGCAUGGACUCAUGAUACACAAGUUAUUCCUUUCCAGAACAGUAAUCCCUCCUCCAAGAUGCAGUUAAGUUCCUCCUAUUUUUAUCCAGCUAAAAACUGGCUAUUUACACUGAGAGGGCUCAAACUCUUUGUCUGAGUGUGUGCACUGCCAAAGACUCAUCUGCACAGUCUCUAGAGGUUAGACAAAUGAUGCAGAUUUCUUAAAACUCACUGAUGAUUGGAAGUUUCAUCAUGGAGAACAACUUCAAUCAAGAAGCUGAGGAAAAUCCUCAUCUGUGUUUCCAGAGAACACCAUCUCUUAGACGCAAAUGGAGAAAACGUUAUGGAGGCCUUGAUGGUAACAAACUACUGGAGCCAAACAAGGAGGAGGACACCAGAGAGAAUGGAGAGAUGACAGAUGCUCUUCCAAAGAAGAAUGCCAACCCUGUGAAGUUUACUGCAACUCUGGAAACAAAAGCCCCAGGGAACAUUCCACAAUCAGUGCCACGAAAUACCUUUCCAUCCCAGAGGCCAGUCAAUUACAUUCUUCCAGGCUCCACAGGCUUGUCAUCUUUAAUAAGCAAUGGAAGCACAAAGAGAGCAGUACCAGAGCAGGACAAAAUUCAUCAAGCCAGCCAACCAUGGCAAAACUUGGCCCAACAAGAGGCCCAACAAGGUCAUUUUAAGAAAAAAGUGGCUGCAGAUGUGCUCUUUGAUAGUUUUGCCUCAGGGGGAAGAGUCAACACCAAUCAGUUUUUUGAGGCUUUGUGGAGCUCAGGAAUCAUUCGAACAGAUCCACGUAUUAAAGACUGCUACAGCCUGAUGCGAAAACUGCAGGAAGCAGAUGGGACAGUUGACAGAAGCACCUUUCACAGAUGUGUGACUGGGUUUGUGUCUUUCAUCUUGAAGGCAUUACAGGGAAGAUUUGUCAUUCCAGAUUUCUCAACUUUCGCAGAGGAAACUCAAAAGCAGUUUAUUAAAUGUAAACAGCUGUCUUCUGUAAAGGAGAAAGAUCAUGUAAAAGAAAGCAGCACACAUUGGGGGAUUUCAAUCUGUACAGUGGAUGGACAGAGACUUUCUUUAGGAGACUGGGCAGAACCUUGCAUUCUUGGAGAGAUAUCUUGGCCUCUCAUAUACGGUCUUGCAGUGGACCAUCAAGGUGUUGACUAUGUACACAGAUUUGUGGGAAUGGAGGAAUACUCCAAAUAUGAGUCACCUUUUACCCUAACCAAGCAAGGUGUACCACACAGUCCACUGGUUGAGACAGGAGCCAUAAUCAGCAGCUCGCUAUUACAGCUGGCAACCAGACCAGUCAUGGAGGAAGAAGAAAAGUAUGAGUCUGUUUUGAAUAUCAUCAGAAGACUGUGUAACAAAGAACACGCAAACUUAAACUGCACAAACUAUCAAAACUUGAGAAAGGACAUUAUUCGACUGCACGCCCUUUCGUUUUACCUGCAAGAGAAGAAAUGCUUUCCAGAAGGUGUGGGGAUCAAUGCCACGUUGGAUUUACUCUUACAGUGUUUAUCGACAGAAGUCACUUGCGAGUCUGGAGCAGCAUUGGCGGCGACUCUAGCUAAUGGGGGUCUGUGCCCUCUGUCAGGUGAUCAAGUACUGUCUCCUCACGCCACCCGCAGCACCCUUUCCAUGAUGCAAGUGGCCGGUAUGAAUGAUUAUUCAAGGACUUUCCAUUUCAGGACAUCUGUACCUGCCAAGUCCAGCCGGUAUGGUGGGGUGCUGAUAGUGGUACCUGGAGUUCUGGGACUCAUGUGCUGGUCACCUGGACUAGAUUCCAAUGGGAAUUCCUUGAGGGGUGUCCAUUUCUGUGAGGACCUGGUUUCAACCUUCCAGCUGCACAGUUUUGACAUUAGGACUCCUUUCAGACAGGUGCUGUCCUACAGACAGUGGAAAGUGGAGUCAGAGGGAUACCAAAUCAUGAAUGUCCUCUUGGCUGCUUAUAGAGGGGACAUGGUGUCUUUGCGCAGGUGGACAAUCCCUUUAAAACAAGGAGUUACGAAGAGUUAUUCCACUUUCCUAGAUACCUUCUGGCAGGAGCAGAUGUGAAUGCUGUGGAUUAUGAUGGACGAUCAGCAUUGCAUGUCGCAGCCUCAGAGGGACGUCUGGACGUCAUCAUGUUCCUGGUGGAGAAUGCAAACGCGAACUGCACACUCAAGGACAGGUGGGGUAACACAGCUUUACAGGAGGCCAUGAGAUGCAAUCAAGACCCUGCCAUCCAAAUUCUGAGAAAGUUCACAGAUUAUGAAGAUAGUUUAUGAUCAAAUAUUAAAAAUACAUUGGAUGGGAUAGUUGACCCCAAAAUAAAAACAUGCUAUUUUAAACCAGUGUUACUUUCUUUCUUCUUUGGAACAAAAAAUGGACAAUGUCAAUUUGACAAUUUACUUUCAUUGCAUCUUUUUCCAAUACAAUGAAAGUGAAUGGUGACUAAGGCUAACAUUCUGCCUAACAUCUCCUUUUGUGUUCUACAGAAGAAAAAGGCAAUAUGGGUUUGGAACUACAUGAGUGAGUAAAUAAUGACAGUAUUUUUAUUUUUUGGUGAACUAUCCCUCUGAUACUUUCAAGGUUCACAUAGAACUAAAUUUUAUUCAGAAUGAAGAGGAUACUUCUCUACUUGGGUAGCCUGUAUUGCUGGCAGCACACCCAGUCAACCUCUCACUCAUUAGAAAUGAUUAAAAGAGAAAGAAUUUUUUUUUUUUCUUCAAUAAAUGCUUGAAUAGAAAGUUCAAGUUUACUGUAU
This is an RNA transcript of Xyrauchen texanus (razorback sucker), 2794 nucleotides long. It is a transcript of the gene named glutaminase like, with no coding region annotated. The record is from RefSeq and is a predicted model, not a curated record. The transcript has 22 exons. Lineage: Eukaryota; Metazoa; Chordata; Actinopteri; Cypriniformes; Catostomidae.